RNAcentral lists this ribosomal RNA (994 nucleotides) under uncultured bacterium. Its description in RNAcentral is "bacterial SSU rRNA". It matches the Rfam family "Bacterial small subunit ribosomal RNA", at positions 356 to 1376 of the family's 1533-position model. The record is from RNAcentral.
GGGGAAUAUUGCACAAUGGGGGAAACCCUGAUGCAGCGACGCCGCGUGGAGGAAGAAGGUCUUCGGAUUGUAAACUCCUGUUGUUGAGGAAGAUAAUGACGGUACUCAACAAGGAAGUGACGGCUAACUACGUGCCAGCAGCCGCGGUAAAACGUAGGUCACAAGCGUUGUCCGGAAUUACUGGGUGUAAAGGGAGCGCAGGCGGGAAGACAAGUUGGAAGUGAAAUCCAUGGGCUCAACCCAUGAACUGCUUUCAAAACUGUUUUUCUUGAGUAGUGCAGAGGUAGGCGGAAUUCCCGGUGUAGCGGUGGAAUGCGUAGAUAUCGGGAGGAACACCAGUGGCGAAGGCGGCCUACUGGGCACCAACUGACGCUGAGGCUCGAAAGUGUGGGUAGCAAACAGGAUUAGAUACCCUGGUAGUCCACACCGUAAACGAUGAUUACUAGGUGUUGGAGGAUUGACCCCUUCAGUGCCGCAGUUAACACAAUAAGUAAUCCACCUGGGGAGUACGACCGCAAGGUUGAAACUCAAAGGAAUUGACGGGGGCCCGCACAAGCAGUGGAGUAUGUGGUUUAAUUCGACGCAACGCGAAGAACCUUACCAAGUCUUGACAUCCUGCGACGAUGCUGGAAACAGUAUUUUCCUUCGGGACGCAGAGACAGGUGGUGCAUGGUUGUCGUCAGCUCGUGUCGUGAGAUGUUGGGUUAAGUCCCGCAACGAGCGCAACCCUUAUGGUCAGUUACUACGCAAGAGGACUCUGGCCAGACUGCCGUUGACAAAACGGAGGAAGGUGGGGAUGACGUCAAAUCAUCAUGCCCCUUAUGACCUGGGCCUCACACGUACUACAAUGGCUGUUAACAGAGGGAUGCAAAGCCGCGAGGUGGAGCGAACCCCUAAAAGCAGUCUUAGUUCGGAUUGUAGGCUGCAACCCGCCUACAUGAAGUCGGAAUUGCUAGUAAUCGCAGAUCAGCAUGCUGCGGUGAAUACGUUCCCG